GGAUAACAUCCGGUGGAGGCGACUCUAAGGACAGUGCAACAGAAAUGAACCGCCUGCAUUGCAGGUAAGGGUGGAAAGGCAGUGUAAGAGACUACCGCCUGCUCGGUAACGCGCAGGGCACAUGUAAACCCCAUCCGGAGCAAGACCGAAACGAAAGCCAUACGGCGGCCCGCCGUGCUUUCAGGUAGGUUGCUUUAGCCUGCUGGCAACAGCAGUGCAAGACAGAUGACCACUCAACGACAGAACCCGGCUUAUCGUUGCCCUCUGAUA
RNAcentral lists this RNase P RNA (270 nucleotides) under Lachnospiraceae bacterium. Its description in RNAcentral is "partial RNase P RNA component class A". It matches the Rfam family "Bacterial RNase P class A", at positions 76 to 367 of the family's 367-position model. Rfam says of the family: Ribonuclease P (RNase P) is a ubiquitous endoribonuclease, found in archaea, bacteria and eukarya as well as chloroplasts and mitochondria. Lineage: Bacteria; Bacillati; Bacillota; Clostridia; Lachnospirales; Lachnospiraceae. The record is from RNAcentral.